Molecule: small nuclear RNA, 107 nt
Organism: Peromyscus maniculatus bairdii (prairie deer mouse)
Lineage: Eukaryota; Metazoa; Chordata; Mammalia; Rodentia; Cricetidae
Source: Ensembl
GUGCCUUCUUCAGCUGCACAUAUACUAAAAUUAGAUCGGCACAGAGAAGAUUAGCAUGACCCCUGCACAAGGAUAACAUGCAAAUUCUUAAAGUGUUCCAUAUUUAA